This 253-nucleotide ribosomal RNA is filed under the name uncultured bacterium. RNAcentral's name for it is "partial 16S ribosomal RNA". It matches the Rfam family "Bacterial small subunit ribosomal RNA", at positions 524 to 776 of the family's 1533-position model. The record is from RNAcentral.
UACGUAGGGUGCGAGCGUUAAUCGGAAUUACUGGGCGUAAAGUGUGCGCAGGCGGCGUUGCAAGUCGAGUGUGAAAGCCCCGGGCUUAACUUGGGAAUUGCGCUCGAAACUACGAUGCUGGAGUAUGGCAGAGGAAGGUGGAAUUCCACGUGUAGCGGUGAAAUGCGUAGAGAUGUGGAGGAACACCGAUGGCGAAGGCAGCCUUCUGGGCCAAUACUGACGCUCAUGCACGAAAGCGUGGGGAGCAAACAGG